Molecule: long non-coding RNA, 886 nt
Organism: Musca domestica (house fly)
Lineage: Eukaryota; Metazoa; Arthropoda; Insecta; Diptera; Muscidae
Exons: 3
Source: RefSeq, a predicted model, not a curated record
UGAAAUAAACUACUGAAAUGUAAAAAACGCGUGUAUUAUUUCAACCCCUUCAAGUUACAACAAGAUUGAUGAAAUCCUGAUUGAUUUGGAUAAAUUCUCCUAUUUAAUAGACCAAGCAAAGUAAUAAUGCAAAAAAAUAAAAAGAUGGGUCUUGCAAAGAGUGGUGUUGGUAUACUGUAAUACGUUUUCUAUUUCCUGUUGCUGACUUAUAAAAUUGAUGAUGUAUUAUAUAUAUGAGGGCCGACAUCGUGGUUCAGAUGGAAGAUGCGAAAAAAUUUAAACAACCAAAAAUGACAGAAAAAGCCAAAUGGAGCUCAUUUCAAAGCGUGGACCUACUUCUUUCAUGUGACAAUAAUCCGUCCAAUGCAAAAUUCUUUGGGAGUACAAUCAGUAAAAUACCAAAUAUAAAGGGUGGAAAAUAGUAGAGCGAAUGAGACUCUUAGUAAGAAAAGGAUUUCUAUCCUUCCAGAAAUUCUUCACAAACAUUCAAGAUACCUUAAACCACUUUUGCAGGUCAUGAUAUCGAUCAUAACUCACGAUAAGGGUACAUCCCGAUUUCAUAUUUAUAUAACCAUCAUAUGAUUUAAGCUAUUUUUGGGGUCUUGGCCACUUUUUUCAUUGCUUGGCCCAUAUUUGGCAUCAUUGUCUCUAAGGGGUUAGGGAACCAUCAUACAGAUAAUUGCCAGAUAGGAAUUUAUUUAAGUAAAGUCCCCACAUUGGAGUAUACCCAAGUCCACUUUCACAUAUAAUGUGUGGUCAGAAAAUAAAAUUUUGUAUUCUAUUGGAUUUGUAACCCCCAAGACAAUAUUGGUUGGAAACGUAUAUUUGGGAUAUACAUCUAUAUGAAAUAAAUUGUGGAAACAUGAACAAAUUACAAAUAUAUGAA